This 253-nucleotide ribosomal RNA is filed under the name uncultured bacterium. RNAcentral's name for it is "partial 16S ribosomal RNA". It matches the Rfam family "Bacterial small subunit ribosomal RNA", at positions 524 to 776 of the family's 1533-position model. The record is from RNAcentral.
UACGUAGGGAGCAAGCGUUGUCCGGAAUCAUUGGGCGUAAAGCGCGCGUAGGCGGCUCGGUAAGUCCGCUGUGAAAGUCAGGGGCUCAACCCUUGAAAGCCAGUGGAUACUGUCGGGCUAGAGUCCGGAAGAGGCGAGUGGAAUUCCUGGUGUAGCGGUGAAAUGCGCAGAUAUCAGGAGGAACACCUAUGGCGAAGGCAGCUCGCUGGGACGGUACUGACGCUGAGGCGCGAAAGCGUGGGGAGCAAAAGGG